CUGUUUACCAAAAGACAUAGCCCUUUAAAAUAUAAAAGGUGUUGCCUGCCCAAUGACUUAAAAAUAAUGUAAAAUAUUUGAAUAAUAGUUUAAAGGACGCGGUAUCUUGACCGUGAUAAUGUAGCAUAAUCAUUCGCCAUUUAAUUGAUGGAUAGUAUGAAUGGCUAAACGAGUAUAACAUUGNUCUCUAAUAGAAAUAAAAUGAAAUUAAAAUAUUAGUAAAGAUGCUAAUUAAAGUUGUAAGACGAAAAGACCCUAUAGAGCUUAACUAUAUUUUWUUGUUAUAAGAGAAGUUUACUUCAAGUAAUAAGAAUUGGUAGUUUGGUUGGGGCGACCACUUUCUAAAAUUAACGAAAGCAAGCAAAAUUCAUUAAAUGAUUUACUGUAUAAAUAAUUGUUUUAACAGUUAUAAUUAUAGGCAACAAUGACCYGUUUAUAACGAGAACAAGUUUAAACGAUCAAUAGAUAAAAGCUACCUUAGGGAUAACAGGAUAUUUUAUUUUAGAGUUCAUAUCAAAGAUAAAGUUUGUCACCUCUAUGUUGAAUUAAGAUAUCCUAGUAAUGCAGAAGUUAUUAAAGGUAGGUCUGUUCGACCUUUAAAAUCUUACAUGAUUUGAGUUCAUUCCGUCGCAAGACAGGAAGGUUUCUAUCU
This 652-nucleotide ribosomal RNA is filed under the name Staurocladia sp. CLAetal22. RNAcentral describes it as "partial large subunit ribosomal RNA". The record is from RNAcentral. Lineage: Eukaryota; Metazoa; Cnidaria; Hydrozoa; Anthoathecata; Cladonematidae.